UCAGGUGGCCGCAGAGAAUAGGCCCAAGCGACUGUUUACCAAAAACAUAGGUUUCUGCUAAGUCGCAAGACGAUGUAUAGGAGCUGACGCCUGCCCGGUGCUGGAAGGUUAAGGGGAUCUGUUAGAGCAAUCGAAGCAGUGAACUUAAGCCCCAGUAAACGGCGGCCGUAACUAUAACGGUCCUAAGGUAGCGAAAUUCCUUGUCGGGUAAGUUCCGACCCGCACGAAAGGCGUAACGAUUUGGGCACUGUCUCAACAACAGACUCGGUGAAAUUGUAAUUCCGGUGAAGAUGCCGGAUACCUGCGACAGGACGGAAAGACCCCAUGGAGCUUUACUGUAGCUUGACAUUGGGGCUUGGUACUACAUGUACAGGAGAGGUGGGAGGCUUUGAAACCAGGACGCCAGUUUUGGCGGAGCCAUCCUUGGGAUACCACCCUUGUAGUACUGGGACUCUAACCAUAGGCCAUGAAUCUGGUCUUGGGACACUGUCAGGUGGGCAGUUUGACUGGGGCGGUCGCCUCCCCAAAGG
Molecule: ribosomal RNA, 530 nt
Filed under: Clostridioides difficile
Lineage: Bacteria; Bacillati; Bacillota; Clostridia; Peptostreptococcales; Peptostreptococcaceae
Description: bacterial LSU rRNA
Rfam family: Bacterial large subunit ribosomal RNA
Source: RNAcentral